GAUGAACGCUGGCGGCGUGCCUAAUACAUGCAAGUCGAGCGAACAGACGAGGAGCUUGCUCCUCUGACGUUAGCGGCGGACGGGUGAGUAACACGUGGAUAACCUACCUAUAAGACUGGGAUGACUUCGGGAAACCGGAGCUAAUACCGGAUAAUAUAUUGAACCGCAUGGUUCAAUAGUGAAAGACGGUUUUGCUGUCACUUAUAGAUGGAUCCGCGCCGCAUUAGCUAGUUGGUAAGGUAACGGCUUACCAAGGCGACGAUGCGUAGCCGACCUGAGAGGGUGAUCGGCCACACUGGAACUGAGACACGGUCCAGACUCCUACGGGAGGCAGCAGUAGGGAAUCUUCCGCAAUGGGCGAAAGCUUGACGGAGCAACGCCGCGUGAGUGAUGAAGGUCUUCGGAUCGUAAAACUCUGUUAUUAGGGAAGAACAAAUGUGUAAGUAACUAUGCACGUCUUGACGGUACCUAAUCAGAAAGCCACGGCUAACUACGUG
This 497-nucleotide ribosomal RNA is filed under the name uncultured bacterium. RNAcentral describes it as "partial 16S ribosomal RNA". It matches the Rfam family "Bacterial small subunit ribosomal RNA", at positions 28 to 507 of the family's 1533-position model. The record is from RNAcentral.